AAGUCGUAACAAGGUUUCCGUAGGUGAACCUGCGGAAGGAUCAUUAACACGUAUCCACGUAUCACCCUAUGUGCACUCGUUUAUUCUCCCUUGGGAUCACAUGAAUUGGCUAGUACGUAGUUCCGGAAUUGAAUGGGCUUGACUUCGGUCAUCCACUGGACUAUGUAUGACCUUACAAUUGUAGUGAUACUGAGGCUAUUUCUGCUAUUCUAAUCUCCAUUCAAGAGGGGAAUAGUGGAUAACACUUAUAACUAUAAUCACCCACUUUUUGCUAGUUGACUUUUUUAUGUUGAUUUUAGAGUAAUUAAUUUUAUUCUGACUUCACACGUUUAAUUAUUUGAACGUAAAAUACAACUCUUAGCAAUGGAUAUCUUGGUUCUC
RNAcentral lists this unclassified non-coding RNA (381 nucleotides) under fungal sp. RNAcentral's name for it is "partial internal transcribed spacer region". The stretch from base 1 to 46 matches the Rfam family "Eukaryotic small subunit ribosomal RNA", at positions 1786 to 1831 of the family's 1831-position model. The record is from RNAcentral. Lineage: Eukaryota; Fungi.